UACGAAGGGGGCGAGCGUUGUUCGGAAUUACUGGGCGUAAAGGGCGCGCAGGCGGCGGCUCAAGUCAGGCGUGAAAGCCCCGGGCUCAACCUGGGAGGUGCGCUUGAGACUGAGUGGCUCGAGUUCGGGAGAGGAUGGUGGAAUUCCCAGUGUAGAGGUGAAAUUCGUAGAUAUUGGGAAGAACACCGGUGGCGAAGGCGGCCAUCUGGACCGAAACUGACGCUGAGGCGCGAAAGCGUGGGGAGCAAACAGG
Molecule: unclassified non-coding RNA, 253 nt
Filed under: uncultured Alphaproteobacteria bacterium
Lineage: Bacteria; Pseudomonadati; Pseudomonadota; Alphaproteobacteria
Description: contains 16S-23S intergenic spacer region
Rfam family: Bacterial small subunit ribosomal RNA
Source: RNAcentral